AACGGACCCUGAGUUCAAAAUUAAACUGAUCCAAUAAGGAAUUUCCCAACACAUGCUUGGAGUUUUGGGGUAUGAGUGAAUUAUACGUAAUUUAUAUGUUUUUCCUUUUUGUUACCUGUAUAAUCAUGUACAGGAGAUUUUUUUUCCCAUAUGUCUCUUGUAUCCACAAAUUCGUGAUUGUCUCACUCUUCGUCCAGCCUGUCCGUCAUUUCUGUGUCUUGUCUUUCUCGAACAUUAAUGACGACAGGCUGGAGAAGAGAAAAAC
RNAcentral lists this long non-coding RNA (265 nucleotides) under Olea europaea (common olive). RNAcentral's name for it is "long non-coding RNA (OEUR_LNC011150)". The record is from RNAcentral. Lineage: Eukaryota; Viridiplantae; Streptophyta; Magnoliopsida; Lamiales; Oleaceae.